GACGAACGCUGGCGGCGUGCUUAACACAUGCAAGUCGAACGGAAAGGCCCUGCUUUUGUGGGGUGCUCGAGUGGCGAACGGGUGAGUAACACGUGAGUAACCUGCCCUUGUCUUUGGGAUAACUUCAGGAAACUGGGGCUAAUACCGGAUAGGAGCUCCUGCUGCAUGGUGGGGGUUGGAAAGUUUCGGCGGUUGGGGAUGGACUCGCGGCUUAUCAGCUUGUUGGUGGGGUAGUGGCUUACCAAGGUUUUGACGGGUAGCCGGCCUGAGAGGGUGACCGGCCACAUUGGGACUGAGAUACGGCGCAGACUCCUACGGGAGGCAGCAGUGGGGAGUAUUACGCAGUGGGGGGAAGCCUGAUGCGGCAACGCCGCGUGCGGGAUGACGGCCUUCGGGUUGUAAACCGCUUUCGCCUGUGACGAAGCGUGAGUGACGGUAAUGGGUAAAGAAGCACCGGCUAACUACGUG
This 468-nucleotide ribosomal RNA is filed under the name uncultured bacterium. RNAcentral describes it as "partial 16S ribosomal RNA". It matches the Rfam family "Bacterial small subunit ribosomal RNA", at positions 28 to 507 of the family's 1533-position model. The record is from RNAcentral.